UAAUACAUGCAAGUCGAGCGGAAGAAGGGAGCUUGCUCCCGGAUGUUAGCGGCGGACGGGUGAGUAACACGUGGGUAACCUGCCUGUAAGACUGGGAUAACUCCGGGAAACCGGAGCUAAUACCGGAUAGUUCCUUGAACCGCAUGGUUCAAGGAUGAAAGACGGUUUCGGCUGUCACUUACAGAUGGACCCGCGGCGCAUUAGCUAGUUGGUGGGGUAAUGGCUCACCAAGGCGACGAUGCGUAGCCGACCUGAGAGGGUGAUCGGCCACACUGGGACUGAGACACGGCCCAGACUCCUACGGGAGGCAGCAGUAGGGAAUCUUCCGCAAUGGACGAAAGUCUGACGGAGCAACGCCGCGUGAGUGAUGAAGGUUUUCGGAUCGUAAAGCUCUGUUGUUAGGGAAGAACAAGUGCGAGAGUAACUGCUCGCACCUUGACGGUACCUAACCAGAAAGCCACGGCUAACUACGUGCCAGCAGCCGCGGUAAUACGUAGGUGGCAAGCGUUGUCCGGAAUUAUUGGGCGUAAAGGGCUCGCAGGCGGUUUCUUAAGUCUGAUGUGAAAGCCCCCGGCUCAACCGGGGAGGGUCAUUGGAAACUGGGAAACUUGAGUGCAGAAGAGGAGAGUGGAAUUCCACGUGUAGCGGUGAAAUGCGUAGAGAUGUGGAGGAACACCAGUGGCGAAGGCGACUCUCUGGUCUGUAACUGACGCUGAGGAGCGAAAGCGUGGGGAGCGAACAGGAUUAGAU
Molecule: ribosomal RNA, 750 nt
Filed under: bacterium IBRC-M F2
Lineage: Bacteria
Description: bacterial SSU rRNA
Rfam family: Bacterial small subunit ribosomal RNA
Source: RNAcentral